This 708-nucleotide ribosomal RNA is filed under the name Micrococcus sp. Its description in RNAcentral is "bacterial SSU rRNA". It matches the Rfam family "Bacterial small subunit ribosomal RNA", at positions 758 to 1462 of the family's 1533-position model. Lineage: Bacteria; Bacillati; Actinomycetota; Actinomycetes; Micrococcales; Micrococcaceae. The record is from RNAcentral.
AGCAUGGGGAGCGAACAGGAUUAGAUACCCUGGUAGUCCAUGCCGUAAACGUUGGGCACUAGGUGUGGGGAACAUUCCACGUUUUCCGCGCCGCAGCUAACGCAUUAAGUGCCCCGCCUGGGGAGUACGGCCGCAAGGCUAAAACUCAAAGGAAUUGACGGGGGCCCGCACAAGCGGCGGAGCAUGCGGAUUAAUUCGAUGCAACGCGAAGAACCUUACCAAGGCUUGACAUGUUCUCGAUCGCCGUAGAGAUACGGUUUCCCCUUUGGGGCGGGUUCACAGGUGGUGCAUGGUUGUCGUCAGCUCGUGUCGUGAGAUGUUGGGUUAAGUCCCGCAACGAGCGCAACCCUCGUUCCAUGUUGCCAGCACUUCGGGUGGGGACUCAUGGGAGACUGCCGGGGUCAACUCGGAGGAAGGUGGGGACGACGUCAAAUCAUCAUGCCCCUUAUGUCUUGGGCUUCACGCAUGCUACAAUGGCCGGUACAAUGGGUUGCGAUACUGUGAGGUGGAGCUAAUCCCAAAAAGCCGGUCUCAGUUCGGAUUGGGGUCUGCAACUCGACCCCAUGAAGUCGGAGUCGCUAGUAAUCGCAGAUCAGCAACGCUGCGGUGAAUACGUUCCCGGGCCUUGUACACACCGCCCGUCAAGUCACGAAAGUCGGUAACACCCGAAGCCGGUGGCCUAACCCUUGUGGAGGGAGCCGUCGAAGG